UACUGUUGAAGUGGAAAACGGUCUUAAAAGGCGGUUAACUUCUUCUUGAUUCAGUAGCUUGGGUCUAUAACCACUGACGGCGUAUCUCGUAGGAGUGAAAACAAAAGCAAGUCUUGAAGUUAAAAAAAGUUUGGAAGUUUAAAAAUGAAGUCCAUCCUACUAUUCAUUGCUUUGGUUGCUUUCAUUCCGACUUUAAUGGCGAAGUCUGAUGUGAAACAUGAAGAACCUAGUAACGAGGAAUCAUCAUCAGAGAAUCGUCCUGCCUUACAAGUGCCGGUUUUUAAACUGUCUCGCAGCACACCUCCAAGUCGUCCAGCCGUCUGGAAUAACAUGUACUUCGCUAUUCAUACCAGGAGAAAACCAAAAGGCUAUAGUAUUCACGAGUACCCGUUUGCAUCCAGUGCCCAGGGUGGAGAAGGUGCUGUUUUGAGGCUGGUUCCGAUAAGAGAAAA
Dendronephthya gigantea is the source of this 452-nucleotide long non-coding RNA. RefSeq lists it as uncharacterized. Lineage: Eukaryota; Metazoa; Cnidaria; Anthozoa; Malacalcyonacea; Nephtheidae. The record is from RefSeq and is a predicted model, not a curated record. The transcript is spliced from 4 exons.